AUGGUGGCAAGUGACCUGAAAUGUUUGCCUGCCACAUCCAACAUUUACCCUGUAUUUGGUGAGUCUGGUGUGGUGGAGGUUUCUGAGGAGUCAGGUCCUAUUUCAAAGACCUUCCAUGAUGCCCAAACACAGCAGUCAGACCCAGCAAUGGAGGACCACACCUACUCCAAAGGACCUAUCAUUACAUGUGGCAUGACAACUGCACCAGCCCGAGAGGUCACUGUCUGUUGCAGAUGUUACAUUGAAAGAGGAUGCAGACUGUCUGCUGAACACAAGGAUUCCACUACUAGAAUUCAACACUUGUGUCUUGCUUAAAAGUUUUUGCCCCCACAUCAUCAACGAUGCCAGUUGUAGACCAAAUUCUGUUGACACUAAUGAAACUUAAAACAGAACUUUGUUGUUAGCCCAAAAAUUGGCUAACACAUUGGGAGGGAUCUUAGACCAUUCCACCAUACAGAAUCUUUCCAGAUGAUAUCCUAUGUCUUUGCUUAAGGACUGCCCUAUUUGAUUCAAACCACAGGCUUUUAAUGGGGCUCAAGUCCAGAGACAGAUGGCAUUGUGAAAUGUUGAUUUUGUGGUCAAUUAAACAUUUACUUGUGGAUUUUGAUGUGUGCUUGGGGUUAUUGUCUUGCUGGAAGAUCCCCUGGCGGCCAAGUUUCAACCUCCUGGAAGAGGCAAUCAGGUUUUUGGCAAAAAUGUGCUGGUACUGGGAAAGGUUAAUGAUGCCAUUGACCUUAAUAACUGCCCCAGGACCAGUGGAAGCAAAAUAGCAAUGUUUACUCUCUCACUUACUUUCAUGUAGGCUAUAUUUGCGUUGAUCACAUCAGAAGGUCUAUUUUUCCAUGUGCAUGGUUACUUAUUAAUCUGUGCUGCUGCUCGUGCGGUGCAGUACACAAAUACGAGUUGCGGUUGCUUUUCUCCUAUGGGAAAAAAAUGAAUGCCAUUUGUUGAAUAUUAGAAGUACAGUAAGCUGAAAUUCUCACCUUUUCAAGAAAACCCCUUACCCCACUUGAUGUUUAUGGGGAGAAAAUCAGAGCUAUAAAUUGUUUAACCUGUAGCCAAGGCUUUAAAGCAAGGGUGGGCAAACUUUUUGGCUCGAGGGCCACAUUAGGAUUUUGAAAUUCAACGGAGGGACGCAUUUUUUGGGGGACCAAUUGUUAAUUAAAAUCUAUUUGCAGGGACCUUGCGAGUGGGGCAGCGGUCUAAGGCGUCACUACAAACCCGGGUUCGAUCCCAGGCUGUGUCACAGUUGGCUGUAACUGGGAGACCCAUGAGGCGGUGCACAAUUGGCCCAGCGUCGUCCGGGUUAGGAGAGGGUUUGGUAGGUUGAGAUUUCCUUGUCCCAUCGUGCUCUAGUGACUCCUGUGGCGGGCCGGGCGCAUGCAUGCUGACAUGGUCGCAGUUGUACAGUGUUUCCUCCGACACAUUGGUGCGGCUGGCUUCCGGGUUUAGAGGUUAUUGUGUCAAGAAGCAGUGCAGCUUGGCUGGGUCAUGAUUCGGACGCACGGCUCUCGACCUUCACCUCUACUGAGUCUGUACAGUUGCAGCGAUGGGACAAGACUGUAACUGCCAAUUGGAUACCCACAAAAUUUCCCCCUUGCUUUAAAGUCUAUAUCGUUAAUUAUGGUAGCAUUGGUUACAAUCUGCCACAAUAUCAAUGUUGCCAGCUUAGGUAUAGGAAGGGAUAGAUAGUAGGCCUAGUUGGAUGAAUGUGCACAUGAUGGAAGUUAAAGGUAGACUAAAUAUUCACUAUCUAAUAGGAUCAAAACAAAAAAAAGCUGCCAAAAUUAACACAGCAGGAUAUUUUUUACAUUUUUGCCUCUGCAAGUAGGCUGAAACUUGGCCGCAAGUGGAUCUUCCUGCAAUACAAUAAAAACCCACAAAGAAAUUGUUAAUUGACGACAAAAUAUUUUUUUUUGCAAUGGCCAGCUCAGUCUUUGUACUUGAACCCCAUUGAAAACCUGUGGGUUGAAUUGAAGAGGGCAGUCCACAAGCGCAGACAAAAGAUAUCAAGAAUCUGAAAAGAUUCUGUAUGGAGAAAUUGUCAAAGAUCCUUCCCAAUGUGUUAUCUAAUCUCAUAAAACAUUUUAGAGAAAGGCUCAGUGCCGUUAUCCUCGCAAAGGAAGGCUGCUCAAGUAUCGAAAACAGUGGUGCCAAUAAUUUUGACCCCUAUCUUGUUGAGAAUUGUUUUUAUUAGUUGUUAAAUAAAAACAUUUCUUUCAAAUAAUGUAAUUUUACAUUUUUGGGCAGCAUACAAUUAGGUCAGUAUUUGUUUUAUUUUAAUUUAUACUGUCUUUUUUGUUCAUCUUUAUCAAGGGUGGCAAUAAUUUUGGUUAUCCACUGAGCUAUACAUAAAAUAAAAUACAAUUCUGAAAAUAUACCUAUAGGGGACCACAUCAGAUGGUUUUGAUCAGUUCAAUUGCUAAAUUCAUGUAAUUCUACACAUUUUGCCAUCGGGCAGAGAGGGAAAUGUGCAGUUUUAUAGCUAAUGGAACGGUCGAAAUGUACACAAUUAUUACCCGGAGGAAAAUGGGGGAGGGUCAUUGAUAAGGGAAUUUAUAGGUUUAAGUUAAUGAUGAAGUAAUUCCACCCUGAAUCAUAACUAUUAGUGAUUAUUAGUUUAUAUAGCAUGUAUAAUGAAUAAUUAACGUAAACGUAAGUUCGGUAGAGACAUGUGAGGGAGAGAAGUGUGUGUGUGUGACUACGAAGAUACUGAGAACAAUUCAACUGUAUGACCGGUCCCAUGCAUCAGGCCUCCAGUGCGCAUCCACAGUCCAGUACGUCCUGUGCCUCCUCCCCGCACUCGCCCUGAGGUGAGUGUCAUCAGCCCAGUGCCACCUGUAUCGGUCCCACGCAUCAGGCCUCCAGUGCGCCUCCACAGUCCAGAGCUUCCUGCAACAGUUCCCAGUCCAGAGCUUCCUGUGACAGUUCCCAGUCCCACUCCGGACCGAUAUUGUCACGUUCUGACCUUUAUUUCCUUUGUUUUGUAUUUAUUUAGUAUGGUCAGGGCGUGAGUUGGGUGGGCAGUCUAUGUUUGUUUUUCUAUGAUUUGGGGAUUUGUAUGUUUCGGCCUAGUAUGGUUCUCAAUCAGAAGGCAGGUGUCAUUAGUUGUCUCUGAUUGAGAAUCAUACUUAGGUAGCCUGGGUCGCACUGUUUGUUUGUGGGUGAUUGUCUAUGUUGAUUGCUUGUGUCAUCACAGUUCUCAUUUAGCUUCACGGUCGUUAUUUGUUUAUUGUUUUUGUAUUCAGUGUUCAGUACUUUCUUUAAUU
This is a long non-coding RNA of Oncorhynchus kisutch (coho salmon), 3269 nucleotides long. Lineage: Eukaryota; Metazoa; Chordata; Actinopteri; Salmoniformes; Salmonidae. The record is from Ensembl.